This 984-nucleotide long non-coding RNA is filed under the name Anas platyrhynchos platyrhynchos (common mallard). RNAcentral's name for it is "lncRNA (ENSAPLG00000018328.1)". The record is from RNAcentral. Lineage: Eukaryota; Metazoa; Chordata; Aves; Anseriformes; Anatidae.
AUGGUGGUGUUUGUGAACUUGCUGAGGUCACAAAGAAACUCAAUAGUUAGCAAGACAAGGGAACAGACUGUGCUGGUCAUGGCUCAGUUAAAAAGUGUGCUGGGGGAAGAGCUCCAGUUAUCUUCAAUUCCUUCUACCUCCCUUGCUACAAUCAUAAACACUAUAACAGCCACAAACACUGGAGAUUGGGAAAGAUUAUUCUCCUUGCAGUUGUUUCCUUGGAAAGAGAUGGCAAGAAACUUGACAAGGACAUCCUAAAAGAAAAGUAAAAAAGGAUCUUCCAACAAGCUAUGAAAAUGAGUUUGCACAAAACUUAAACAGGAAAGAAAUUUCCUUUUUGUUAGAAAAAUCCAUCAGUAAGUCUGUACAUUUUGGGAGAUAAUUUGUCUUUGAGAUGUGCCUGAAGCUUCUUACAUUUGACUUUUUUAAAGCAAGCCUGACAAAUGAUGUGGGAAUAUUCUGCAAGGAUGAUUCUUAGGAAAUUAAUCUUCAGGUGUACCAAGCUUCAUCUCUCUCCCACUUCCACAGUUUUGCAUUUAAAAAAAAAAUAACAACACUGGGAAGUUUUCAUAAAUCAUGUAAAAGUCACAGUUACUUCAAAAGAAGAAAGUUGUGUGAUCAAACUAUAGAAAUAGAAGACAAUCAACAGAGCAUUAGAAAUACUCAGAAAGUUAUUAGGCAUAUCACUAAACUCAAACCUUAACUCACACUCUUCUCUCUGGGAAAUACCUAGUACCAUAUCAUACUAUACAAGUACUAAGUAGUAUUUAAAUAGGUCCAAUCCAAAAUUCUGUUGACCAUUCAGAUUAGGUAACACUUUGAGAAACUAAAAUCAAGCAUACCAAGCAAAGGAGGAAACAUGAGCCCUUAUUUAUGUGGUCACUUGAUGCAGUAACUUACUUCCCCAUCUAAACCAAAAGAUUUUUCCAAGACACGUAAGAGAACAUUGUAUUUUGGCAUAGAAUAAAUAGGAGUUAUAUAGCA